CAAACAGACCGUGUUUAGGAUCAGCUUUUUCUUGAAGAUCUGUUUUCUCCAAGGUGGAUGAACCAGACUGGCAAUAGACUGGUUCUUCACAGCACGCUGGCUUAAGUCCUGAGGGACUAUUCUGCGUAUCAUCUUUAGGGCACUUGACUGCAGGCCGGAUGGGCCUGGCUGACUAUCAGUCUGAUCUCGUUGAGCACUUGGCUCCUGGUCAAACAGACCGUGUUUAGGAUCAGCUUUUUCUUGAAGAUCUGUUUUCUCCAAGGUGGAUGAACCAGACUGGCAAUAGACUGGUUCUUCACAGCACGCUGGCUUAAGUCCUGAGGGACUAUUCUGCGUAUCAUCUUUAGGGCACUUGACUGCAGGCCGGAUGGGCCUGGCUGACUAUCAGUCUGAUCUCGUUGAGCACUUGGCUCCUGGUCAAAUGGACCAUCUUUAGUAUCAGCCUCUUCUUGAAGAUCUGUUUUCUCCAACAGCACUUGGCUCCUGGUCAAAAAGUUGCUAAUUUUAUUACGUAUGGGUGAGGCUAGAACUAAUAUUGUGAUUUAAGAGGAAAAUCACUUACUUUCUGUUAAGAAAAAUAGUUUACUCUCACAACCCUAAAUGGCCGUUUUCCAGUAAUAUCAGUAAUUUUUUACAGUUUAAAAGGGGGAUGAGUUUAUUCACAAUCGAAGAUGUUGAUAGCUCUCAUGUUGACAGGGAAAGACUAGGACACAAAAACCAGUGAGGAGCCCAGGGAAGAUCCGAAGUGCAAUAAGCGUCGGGGGCCAAACCCUGUGGUGAAGACUCCCUCAUAGGUUCCCCUCAAGUAGUUCAUCCCCCACCUCACCUGGUCCCUUAGGUGUCAAACUACAUUAGAUUAGGGUACAAAAAAACUCUAUGAUAAAUUUUAUAUCUUUUAUAUUUAAUAUUUUUAUGUAAGGUUGUAAAAACAAUUAUGUUAAAGCAAUACAAUCACAGGGAAGUUAAAACUUAAAAUGUUGUAUGAGAGUACUGCUCUUUUGUGUUUUUCUGUUUGUGUUGCAGAUACAGGACAUUGCCAAAUAGAUGACUGUCAUCAACAUAUGAAGGAGCAGGCUGAUCAAGAGCAAUUGCAAGUGGCCUUAAAAAACUGGAUUGUGUAGGAGCACGGCAGAACCCCAACAGCACUUCCUCUCGGCCAAGGCUUAUGGGAACAGAUUCUAGUGGACCUGCUGGUUACAUACACACAUACAGGGAACAAUGCAACCUCUGGAACAUCAAGUGGAUGUCCUGGUAUAAAUACAGGGACAAAUACGCCAGUACCCACUGUCAACAGUGAAAUGCAAAGCAAACUGAAAGACCUCUAAAUGGGGCAGUGGAGCUUGGACUGCUUCAGGCAGGACCUGAUAUCAUUGCCAGAACAUUCUGGUCACAAAGAGGUUGUCAGUAUUAUGAUCCUUAAAGAGGAGCAUCAUAAAUUGAAGCAACUAGCUGGUGGUUGGCUUUGCUAUAAAGCUGCAGG
This is a non-coding RNA of Misgurnus anguillicaudatus (oriental weatherfish), 1480 nucleotides long. Lineage: Eukaryota; Metazoa; Chordata; Actinopteri; Cypriniformes; Cobitidae. The record is from RefSeq and is a predicted model, not a curated record.